GUAAAUAUAGUUUAACAAAAACACUAGAUUGUGAAUCUAGAAACAGAAACUUAAUAUUUCUUAUUUACC
RNAcentral lists this transfer RNA (69 nucleotides) under Equus caballus (horse). RNAcentral describes it as "tRNA-His". It matches the Rfam family "tRNA". Rfam says of the family: Transfer RNA (tRNA) molecules are approximately 80 nucleotides in length. Their secondary structure includes four short double-helical elements and three loops (D, anti-codon, and T loops). Further hydrogen bonds mediate the characteristic L-shaped molecular structure. tRNAs have two regions of fundamental functional importance: the anti-codon, which is responsible for specific mRNA codon recognition, and the 3' end, to which the tRNAs corresponding amino acid is attached (by aminoacyl-tRNA synthetases). tRNAs cope with the degeneracy of the genetic code in two manners: having more than one tRNA (with a specific anti-codon) for a particular amino acid; and 'wobble' base-pairing, i.e. permitting non-standard base-pairing at the 3rd anti-codon position. Lineage: Eukaryota; Metazoa; Chordata; Mammalia; Perissodactyla; Equidae. The record is from RNAcentral. RNAcentral also lists the same sequence under 4 other names.